CAGUGCUAAUACCGGAUAAGAAAGCGGAUCGCAUGAUCAGCUUUUAAAAGGCGGCGUAAGCUGUCGCUAUGGGAUGGCCCCGCGGUGCAUUAGCUAGUUGGUAAGGUAAAGGCUUACCAAGGCGAUGAUGCAUAGCCGAGUUGAGAGACUGAUCGGCCACAUUGGGACUGAGACACGGCCCAAACUCCUACGGGAGCAGCAGGC
This 204-nucleotide ribosomal RNA is filed under the name uncultured Lactobacillus sp. Its description in RNAcentral is "partial 16S ribosomal RNA". It matches the Rfam family "Bacterial small subunit ribosomal RNA", at positions 158 to 354 of the family's 1533-position model. Lineage: Bacteria; Bacillati; Bacillota; Bacilli; Lactobacillales; Lactobacillaceae. The record is from RNAcentral.